GCAAACUAGUUGCCAUCCAGGUUGUAGAAAGAGGAUGAACAUGCAUGCCCUAUCAUCCGAAAAAUGCACAGCUAUGAUGAUUCCUACUUGGCAUGCUGUAAUAGUUGUUUAUGACAUAAAUGUGAUAAGAUUGCCAUGUUUCCUUUUAUGUGAAAACAACAAACAAAUGGAAUUCAAAUACUGAAUAAUGAUGCGUUCUUAUUCGUGCAGUGACCAAAAACACAGUGCGAAAAGCAGAGAAAAUGAAUCAUGAAGACAGGACUGGUCCUUGGUUUUCUGGAAGGCCACAAGCGCCAUCUUGGGAUGCAAUAGAGUACAAUCAACUCAUUUCCGCAGGACCAUUGCAGCCACUUCUAGAGUAGUACGCGAGCUUAGGUUCUUAUGACACAAUCACACAGGUAGGUAUACCAUGGCAAGUUGGAACACAAGGGGCUAUCGGUGAUAGAUAUACAGGAAACCAACUUCAAGUAGCAAAUGUGUCAAAUCAAGGUUAUUAUGGUGCAACCACACCAGCAGAUGUCUCGUAGCAAGCUUCACCAUUGCAGGCCAUCAGUAAUGCAGAUACAAUGCACCAAAUUGAAGUGGCACACCAACUUCGAUUAGCACAUGUGGCACAACAAGGAGCUUCAGCUACAAUCAACAGCGGCGUAGGAACAUCUACUGCGAGAACCUCAGAGCACAUUGAAGGAGCAUUCCACGAGCAAGUCACCGAUGCUGCAACAAACAAUGCAGAAUCAGUGUCAGAUAUGGCAAUCGUUCCAGCAAUGACGACAAGCACGCCUCUGCAAACCAGCACAAGCAACACUCAAGCAAAUGAAACAUCCGCCAAUACUGAAGUGAAUGAUGAAACUGAUGACGAAACACAAGGAGAAGAAGAAGAUGGACAAUCGGAAAUCAUGAUACCUCAACCACCAUAUGUUGGGCAGAGAUUUGGUUCUUUUGAAGAUGCCAAGGAGUACUACCAGAGAUAUGCGAUGUUCCAUGGAUUUGCGUGAACACAUAAUACCAUAGGAAAAUUAAAAAACUAACGAGUACAACAGAGGUGAGAUAAGGUGCUACAAAGCACGAAAGAACAAGAAGAGUAAAGGUGUUGUGCAUGUCGUGCCUGAACGAAAGAGAGGCAUCAUUCUCAAGACGGGAUGCCCUGUCCGGUUGAAGCUAAACGCAAAUGGAGCAUGGUGGGUGUCACCAAAUAUUUCAAAGAACACAACCACGACCUCACAAAGAAGUUUGACCUAGUAAAAAUUCUGAGCGCCCACAGAGGAUUCAGCCGCAUCAAGAAGAAAUUCAUAAGGUUGCUACAUGAUUGUAACGUCGGUCCAUCAAGAAUGGUCCAAAUACGGUCCCUGGUCCACAGCGGAGAUGGUAGUCUGAGUAGCAUGCCCUACAUACCAGCAGAUGUCACAAACCUAAAGGCAAAGUACCGUAGAGAGAGCAGGUUGGAUGACAUAGAAGACACAAUAGGCUACUUCGAAGAGAAAGCAAAAGCAGAUAAUGAUUUCUUCUAUAGGAUAAGAUUGGACGAUGAGGACCAUGUCAGAAACAUGUAUUGGGUGGAUGGUGCUGCAAGAAGAGCCUACAAACAUUUCCGUGAUUGCAUUUCGUUCGACGCGACAUAUCUCACGAAUAUGUGCAAGAUGCCCUGUGAUCCAUUCAUAGGAAUAAAUAACCACAAUCAGUCCUUGCAGUUCGGUUGCGGUCUCGUUCAGAACGAAGAUACCGAUGGUUACAGGCUGUUCAAAACCUUCUUGGAGUGCAUGGAUGGACUUGCUCCGAUGAACAUAAUAACAGACCAGGAUGUUAGCAUGCGCGCAGGCAUAGAGGAGGUCUUUCCAUCGGCAGUGCACAGGCACUACAGGUGGCAUAUUAUUAAGAAGGAUGAAGAGACGCUAGGACCAUUCUUCGCUGACCGUCCAGAGCUACACAAGGCAUUCGAGUAGUGUGUGGACCACAGCUUGACGGUGGAGGAGUUUGAACAGAGCUGGACGACUAUGAUUGAAACAUACCAAGUCCAAGACAACGAGGCACUAAAUAGCUUGUUGGAGAAGCGAAUGUACUGGGUGCCGGCCAACUUCAUGCAGUGCUUCUUUCCAUUUCUGCAGACUACACAACACAGUGAGGGGUUCAAUGCUGUUUUGAAGCGUUACGUGAGCCGUGGCAACUCAUUGCUGCAGUUUGCCAAGCAAUAUUCAGCUUUGCAAUAGAAAAUACUGGGAUCUGGGCUACAACAAGAAGAAAACACCGCACUCAAGCAGCCUAAAUUGCUAACAUACUUACUGAUGGAGAGGCAGAUGAGCAAGAUAUACACCAACAAGAUAUU
This is an RNA transcript of Triticum aestivum (bread wheat), 2320 nucleotides long. It is a transcript of the gene named protein FAR1-RELATED SEQUENCE 5-like, with no coding region annotated. The record is from RefSeq and is a predicted model, not a curated record. The transcript has 4 exons. Lineage: Eukaryota; Viridiplantae; Streptophyta; Magnoliopsida; Poales; Poaceae.